GCAGUCGAGCGACUGAUUAGAAGCUUGCUUCUAUGACGUUAGCGGCGGACGGGUGAGUAACACGUGGGCAACCUGCCUGUAAGACUGGGAUAACUCCGGGAAACCGGAGCUAAUACCGGAUAACAUUUUUUCUUGCAUAAGAGAAAAUUGAAAGAUGGUUUCGGCUAUCACUUACAGAUGGGCCCGCGGUGCAUUAGCUAGUUGGUGAGGUAACGGCUCACCAAGGCAACGAUGCAUAGCCGACCUGAGAGGGUGAUCGGCCACACUGGGACUGAGACACGGCCCAGACUCCUACGGGAGGCAGCAGUAGGGAAUCUUCCGCAAUGGACGAAAGUCUGACGGAGCAACGCCGCGUGAGUGAUGAAGGCUUUCGGGUCGUAAAACUCUGUUGUUAGGGAAGAACAAGUACAAGAGUAACUGCUUGUACCUUGACGGUACCUAACCAGAAAGCCACGGCUAACUACGUGCCAGCAGCCGCGGUAAUACGUAGGUGGCAAGCGUUAUCCGGAAUUAUUGGGCGUAAAGCGCGCGCAGGCGGUUUCUUAAGUCUGAUGUGAAAGCCCACGGCUCAACCGUGGAGGGUCAUUGGAAACUGGGGAACUUGAGUGCAGAAGAGAAAAGCGGAAUUCCACGUGUAGCGGUGAAAUGCGUAGAGAUGUGGAGGAACACCAGUGGCGAAAGCGGCUUUUUGGUCUGUAACUGACGCUGAGCGCGAAAGCGUGGGGAGCAACAGAUUAGAUACCCUGGUAGUCCACGCCGUA
Molecule: ribosomal RNA, 761 nt
Filed under: Priestia flexa
Lineage: Bacteria; Bacillati; Bacillota; Bacilli; Caryophanales; Bacillaceae
Description: bacterial SSU rRNA
Rfam family: Bacterial small subunit ribosomal RNA
Source: RNAcentral